GGGGAACUAGCUCAGAUGGUAGAGCGCUCGCUUCGCAUGUGAGAGGCACGGGGAUCGAUACCCCGGUUCUCCA
This 73-nucleotide transfer RNA is filed under the name Coemansia sp. BCRC 34301. RNAcentral's name for it is "tRNA-Ala". It matches the Rfam family "tRNA". Rfam says of the family: Transfer RNA (tRNA) molecules are approximately 80 nucleotides in length. Their secondary structure includes four short double-helical elements and three loops (D, anti-codon, and T loops). The record is from RNAcentral. Lineage: Eukaryota; Fungi; Kickxellomycota; Kickxellomycetes; Kickxellales; Kickxellaceae.